UGUUGGGUGGUGAAAUUGGCAGACACGCCUUCUUGUCUCGGUGGCGGGGAUAAAUGGAUAAACGCAGUUUAUGGGUUGACCACAAAUUAAUUUUUGAACUGUAGCUAACUACCCCUUGAAGGUUCGACUCCUUCCCCAACAGCCA
RNAcentral lists this transfer RNA (145 nucleotides) under Pedobacter africanus. RNAcentral's name for it is "tRNA-Asp". The record is from RNAcentral. Lineage: Bacteria; Pseudomonadati; Bacteroidota; Sphingobacteriia; Sphingobacteriales; Sphingobacteriaceae.